This 765-nucleotide ribosomal RNA is filed under the name Triticum aestivum (bread wheat). Its description in RNAcentral is "partial small subunit ribosomal RNA". The record is from RNAcentral. Lineage: Eukaryota; Viridiplantae; Streptophyta; Magnoliopsida; Poales; Poaceae.
AUGAUGGUCAUUGGCUUUUGUUUUUCAUGUGAUGAUAUUGACAUACUUCCUUUACAUGAUUUGCGCAAUUCAUCUACUAUGCCAUGCCAUGAUCACAUUGAACCAAAUAUGCAUUGUUUUGGAUGUUGUCAAUAUUCUCCACGUGAUGUUUCUACUCUUGCUCAUGAGGAGACCCCCAUUGUUUCCUCAUACAUAUCAGGAGAUCUUGAUGCAUGUCAUACUUUGCAUGAUUCCCAUGAUAGUGUACACCAUAUGCAUUCCAUGAAUAGCAAUGCUCUAGAUAUUUCUCAUGACGCAUUACAACCUUUGAGUCUCCAUUAUGCCAUACAUAACAGCAAACCUCUCAUGAUGGAUGACAUGUUUCUAUAUCACGCAUCUCAUUUAUUUGAGCAUUGGAUAUUUUGUGCUAACCGACACAUGCACGUGCACAUCAGGAUGGAUGAUGUGUACAUAUACCACGCACACACAAUUUUUCCUUUGCCUUUGUUUUGUGUAGGUACUCACAUAUACUCGUCAACCUCUCAAUCCCAAGAGUUGACGAAACGAGCUCUUGAGAGCAACGACACUUUGGGAUCACGUGAAUUGUCCUCACAACCAUUCCUUCGCGCAAUAACUACGCGCAUCUCUUCUACUUGUCUCUCACAUGGCUAUGGGCUAUUUACCACUUGUCACCUUAUGCUCAUUUUCCCAUGUUCACUUUGCAUGUUAUCCUUGCUUCUAUGCCUUUGCCAUGCAAUUGUGACCCUUGUUUGCAUCUACCCAUGA